This is a small nuclear RNA of Nannospalax galili (Upper Galilee mountains blind mole rat), 103 nucleotides long. Lineage: Eukaryota; Metazoa; Chordata; Mammalia; Rodentia; Spalacidae. The record is from Ensembl.
GUUCUUGCUUCUGCACAUAUAUUAAAUUUGGAAUGAUACAGAGAAGAUUAGUAUGGCCCUAUGCAAGGAUGACAUGCAAAUUUGAGAAUCCAUAUAUAUAUAU